RNAcentral lists this small nuclear RNA (23 nucleotides) under Arabidopsis thaliana (thale cress). RNAcentral describes it as "snRNA_08486". Lineage: Eukaryota; Viridiplantae; Streptophyta; Magnoliopsida; Brassicales; Brassicaceae. The record is from RNAcentral.
CGGCUGCAUUUCUAACUACCAGG